GGAAGGAGAGCACGCCGUGUCGCCGAUC
This 28-nucleotide small RNA is filed under the name Bombyx mori (domestic silkworm). Its description in RNAcentral is "ovarian small RNA-17214". Lineage: Eukaryota; Metazoa; Arthropoda; Insecta; Lepidoptera; Bombycidae. The record is from RNAcentral.